GGAGAGGGUGUAGCUCAGUGGUAGAGCGUGUGCUUAGCAUGCACGAGGUCUUGGGUUCAAUUCCCAGUACCUCCA
This 75-nucleotide transfer RNA is filed under the name Vicugna pacos (alpaca). RNAcentral describes it as "tRNA-Ala (AGC) (tRNA-Ala-AGC-601-1)". It matches the Rfam family "tRNA". Rfam says of the family: Transfer RNA (tRNA) molecules are approximately 80 nucleotides in length. Their secondary structure includes four short double-helical elements and three loops (D, anti-codon, and T loops). Lineage: Eukaryota; Metazoa; Chordata; Mammalia; Artiodactyla; Camelidae. The record is from RNAcentral.